Long non-coding RNA from Strongylocentrotus purpuratus (purple sea urchin), 930 nucleotides. RefSeq lists it as uncharacterized. The transcript has 3 exons. NCBI's taxonomy places the organism in Eukaryota, Metazoa, Echinodermata, Echinoidea, Camarodonta, Strongylocentrotidae. The record is from RefSeq and is a predicted model, not a curated record.
ACAUCUGCCCUUCAGCUUGCAGUCAACACAGCGAUCAAAGUUGACCUGAUCCCCGAUCUUAACAAGCUCGGUGCUGUAGGAGCUCCCCUGCCGCAGCUUGAUGGUUUCAACUUCACCAAACCUGUCGUAUCCCUGGGAGAGGGGUUUUUGAAGAUCGGGACGGACCUGACCUAUACACCAUAACGUUCCAUUUUCCCGACCCGUGCAACUUGCAUCUAAAAGUCGUACAUGUAUAGUGUACUUAUGGCUUCUGGUAACAGGCGGGUUAAACACGGCAAACGAGAGUCGAUCGACGAAUGAAACUUUACAUCGUAACAGACAGUUGCACGCACCAAAGACCAGAACAUUCAAUCCUCACAAUUAUCACACAGUUAAUCACCUUCUAAGUAGUGCAUUUAGUUCCGGUUUCAAGAAAUUUGCUUUAAACUAUAAGUCGACGACGCAGAUUUAUUCUCACCCGCAGGCUAAUUAAUAACAAUAUUAAUAAUAAUAAUAGUUCGUCCUUAUAUAGCGCAUUUCAGGACCGCAGGCCCUCUCAAUGCGCUUUACAGAUAUAUAUUAUUUAUAUAUAUUAUCAAACUUUAUUAUGUCUUUCAAGUUUGAAUUCUCAAAGUAGUUUUGUCUUUUUUCUCUUUGAUUAUUGAACUGAAUACAGGUAAAUGCAUUUAAACAACUUCUUCAUUUCUCACUUUACUUAUGUUGUAAAAAAAUGUUUUGCCAAUUUUACUUAUUUCAUCAGAAAUAACAUUGUUUAUCAUGUUUGAUCGUGCCACUUUAUUUUGUUUGAAUUUUGAGAUUUAAAAACAAAAUUAUUGGCAUCGUUUAAAGAAAAUAAGGCAAAGCAGAUACAAAUUUUGACUUUCAAAUUACAAGCAGGAUGUAGUAUAUUUAUGUAUCGUUAUGUUUAUAAUAAACAAUAUUGACACAGAA